Molecule: long non-coding RNA, 376 nt
Filed under: Zostera marina
Lineage: Eukaryota; Viridiplantae; Streptophyta; Magnoliopsida; Alismatales; Zosteraceae
Description: long non-coding RNA (ZMAR_LNC003419)
Source: RNAcentral
UCUCUUCAACCUCAUGUAUCAUCCAUCGCUUUGGCUGGAUGAUACACGCUGCUCAGACCUAGCUUACGACCCGCGAAUCUAAGCGAUGGUUACAAAAUCCAAUUUACGUCCAAAGUGACUAAAAUUGCGAUUACAAGUCUAGUUUACGAUUUAUGAGUCCAAAGUGCGACUUAAGAAUCUAAAUAAGACUCUCAUUUACAAAUCUAGCCCGAUAUUCUAAAUUUUCGACUACAAUCAACGAUACCCUCGUUUUCAAUCUAUUUUGUCGCUAUGGCCUUAAUAGACCAAGGAUCAUUUUGUCGCCUUGGCUUCAAUGAUCCUAUCCCAUCUUGUCGCUAUGGCCUUGAUAAGGAUCGAGAGUCACUCUGUCGCUAUG